This 253-nucleotide ribosomal RNA is filed under the name uncultured bacterium. Its description in RNAcentral is "partial 16S ribosomal RNA". It matches the Rfam family "Bacterial small subunit ribosomal RNA", at positions 524 to 776 of the family's 1533-position model. The record is from RNAcentral.
UACGUAGGGUGCGAGCGUUGUCCGGAAUUAUUGGGCGUAAAGAGCUCGUAGGCGGCUUGUCGCGUCGGAUGUGAAAGCCCGGGGCUUAACUCCGGGUCUGCAUUCGAUACGGGCAGGCUAGAGUUCGGUAGGGGAGAUCGGAAUUCCUGGUGUAGCGGUGAAAUGCGCAGAUAUCAGGAGGAACACCAAUGGCGAAGGCAGCACUCUGGGACGGUACUGACGCUGAGACGCGAAAGCGUGGGGAGCAAACAGG